RNAcentral lists this ribosomal RNA (253 nucleotides) under uncultured bacterium. RNAcentral describes it as "partial 16S ribosomal RNA". It matches the Rfam family "Bacterial small subunit ribosomal RNA", at positions 524 to 776 of the family's 1533-position model. The record is from RNAcentral.
GACAGAGGGUGCAAACGUUGUUCGGAUUUACUGGGCGUAAAGCGCGUGUAGGCGGCUUUGCAAGUCGGAUGUGAAAGCCCACGGCUCAACCGUGGAAGUGCAUCCGAAACUGCAUGGCUUGAGUCUCGGAGAGGAAGGUGGAAUGCUUGGUGUAGAGGUGAAAUUCGUAGAUACCAAGCAGAACACCUGCGGCGAAGGCGGCCUUCUGGACGAUGACUGACGCUGAGACGCGAAAGCGUGGGGAGCAAACAGG